Molecule: ribosomal RNA, 822 nt
Filed under: uncultured bacterium
Lineage: Bacteria
Description: bacterial SSU rRNA
Rfam family: Bacterial small subunit ribosomal RNA
Source: RNAcentral
UNUGACUUGAGUGCAGAAGGGGAGAGUGGAAUNCCAUGUGUAGCGGUGAAAUGCGUAGAUAUAUGGAGGAACACCAGUGGCGAAAGCGGCUCUCUGNUCUGUCACUGACGCUGAGGCUNGAAAGCGUGGGUAGCGAACAGGAUUAGAUACCCUGGUAGUNCACGCCGUAAACGAUGAGUGCUAGGUGUUAGGCCCUUUCCGGGGCUUAGUGCCGGAGCUAACGCAAUAAGCACUCCGCCUGGGGAGUACGACCGCAAGGUUGAAACUCAAAGGAAUUGACGGGGGCCCGCACAAGCGGUGGAGCAUGUGGUUUAAUUCGAAGCAACGCGAAGAACCUUACCAGGUCUUGACAUCCCGAUGCUAUUCUUAGAGAUAGGAAGUUACUUCGGUACAUCGGAGACAGGUGGUGCAUGGUUGUCGUCAGCUCGUGUCGUGAGAUGUUGGGUUAAGUCCCGCAACGAGCGCAACCCUUAUUGUUAGUUGCCAUCAUUAAGUUGGGCACUCUAGCGAGACUGCCGGUAAUAAACCGGAGGAAGGUGGGGAUGACGUCAAAUCAUCAUGCCCCUUAUGACCUGGGCUACACACGUGCUACAAUGGUCGGUACAACGAGUUGCGAGCCGGUGACGGCAAGCUAAUCUCUGAAAGCCGAUCUCAGUUCGGAUUGGAGGCUGCAACUCGCCUCCAUGAAGUCGGAAUCGCUAGUAAUCGCGGAUCAGCACGCCGCGGUGAAUACGUUCCCGGGCCUUGUACACACCGCCCGUCACACCACGAGAGUUUGUAACACCCGAAGUCGGUGAGGUAACCUUUUAGGGGCCAGCCGCC